AGUGAUGCUUAUCAAGCCACAGGCUGCUACAACUUGCUAUGCUCAGGUUUUAUUCAAAUCAAUAAUGAAAUAGCAAUGGGGGCCACCAUUUCCCCUCUUUCUAGCUAUCAUGGUUCACAAUAUGAUAUAAGCAUUCUUGUCUGGAAGGACCCAAAAGAGGGGAACUGGUGGAUGCAAUUUGGGAAUGACUAUGUACUGGGAUAUUGGCCAGGCUUUUUAUUUUCAUACUUAACAGACAGUGCUUCAAUGAUUGAAUGGGGUGGGGAAGUGGUGAAUUCAGAAUCUGAUGGUCUUCACACCACUACUCAAAUGGGGAGUGGCCAUUUCCCUGACGAAGGAUUCGGAAAAUCGAGCUAUUUCAGGAAUAUACAGGUAGUUGAUGAAUCGAAUAACUUGAGAGCUCCUCAAGAUCUUGGGACUUACACUGAGGAUAACAAUUGUUAUGAUGUUCAGCUAGGGAAGAAUAAUGACUGGGGUAACUACUUUUACUAUGGUGGACCUGGUAGAAAUGCUAAUUGUCCAUGACCACGAUUUCGAAAAUGUUUCUUUUUCUUUGUAAUCUUGACAUGAAUUCUUGUAUGCUCAUUGUUUUACUCUUUGUAAAACUUUUAUUCUAGAGGGGGCUAUAGGUUAGUUGCAUCAAAAAUGUGUAUGCAUCUUUGAUCUUAAAUUGUAUGAAAAGUUCUUUCGCUUUUUUUUCUUUUUUUCGAAGGUGUCUGUCUCUACAUGAAAUGUUGUUGGAGAUAGAAUGGAGGUUGAAAAUUUCUAAAUGUAAAAUUGUUACUGUUUGUUUGUUCCUGUCUUAGGAGCUAGCUAUCAA
Molecule: unclassified non-coding RNA, 820 nt
Filed under: Hevea brasiliensis (rubber tree)
Lineage: Eukaryota; Viridiplantae; Streptophyta; Magnoliopsida; Malpighiales; Euphorbiaceae
Source: RNAcentral